Molecule: long non-coding RNA, 430 nt
Filed under: Hordeum vulgare
Lineage: Eukaryota; Viridiplantae; Streptophyta; Magnoliopsida; Poales; Poaceae
Description: long non-coding RNA (HVUL_LNC010517)
Source: RNAcentral
UCACGAGAGAUCGUAGUUAUACUUUGAAACUUUCCAUCACUAGACUAGGAAGCUCAAGAAAAUGGUUUAGGCAACACAAGUACAUGUGGUAAGCAACCUAAACUUGACAUAAGAAAAUGGUUUAGGUGAUGAAGAAACUGCGAGUAAAAUGCACAGAGCCACCACAAUAGCAAUAACGACGUGAUUAGCAGAAAACCAUCACUUUACAAAACGUUGCACUUUGCACUGCACAAAAAGAAUGGCGGUGGCAGAAACACUGAACCGCUUUUUGAACAUAAUUUGACGUGGCAAAGCACGCACAUGGACGGUGCAACGCCUAAUGAUCGUUAACAGUCGUCCAACCGGUGCGGUCGGAAUGCAUUUCCCUAAAGGGAAACGGUGCUAGCCGCCAGCUCACUCACUCAAGCUCCCUCUCCACCUCUCUCGCCUC